UGAUAAUCAUGUCAUAUAACACCUGAGACUGUGGUCGAAGAAAUUAGAAACCUUUUAGUAGAAGGAUCAGACACUAAAAGGGACGUCUCAAACUCAGCUAACUGGUUUAUUUCUCGACUAUCCUAUAUCAUGAUUGACUUGCCCACUGGCGCCACCCUGGCCUCGCUGUUUUCAACGGUUCUCAGGUUGCCGGAGCGGCGUGUUUGAACUGUUUGAACCACAGGUUUGAACCACAGGCACCACAGGUUUGAACUGUUUCAACGGGAGUCAUGGCAAAACGGACGGAGUAGCACUGCGUGGCCUCGCAAUCCCAGCGACCCGACGACCCGACGAGCUCGCAAAGCGGUGCUCGGAAGACGACCCUCCCAAAGCCGACGACGCGCACUCACCUCUGUGGACAGCGAAGAAACAUCGUCGCACUGUGACAACGGCGACUAGUACACGGCAUUUAUUUUUUGUUGGCGUUCGUUUCAUAAAACCCGUCUAUAAGGAGCUUGUGACCACCCUCAAAGGCUUGACGAGCUAUGUGCUCGUAUUCAAGUUGGUGCCACACGGUGGGCCUUUCGGGCAUGCCAGGGAGGAUGAGAGGCUGUCCCUGAACCGCCUACUAGUACAAAAAGGUGUUGCCCUCGGCGUUACCAUCAUGAAUGUCGACCGACCACCUGUUCCUCAACCGAGGCAACAUUGUCAACCUCGACAAGCUGGCUACCGACCAGUACAACGUGUGCCGUGUCCGCGGCAUCCAGCGCCUUGCAUUUGCGCUCGGCAAGGCACUCGCAAAACUUUAUGUCCGGAAUUCCUCAUGACCUCGACUUUAACUAAGCUCCCCUUCGUUCACGUCUUCGGUCUCCGCUGAAGAUAAGCGCCACACAGCAGAAUGCGGAGAGAAAAGCCAGCAGGCGUCACAAAGGGGAGCUGCUUUUUCUAAGGCGCUAGAUAGCUUACUCGCCCACGGUACGACUUGCAGUGGCUGAAGUUAAUAGAAAAAAAAAUAAUAAUAAUAAAAGGUAUGAACGGCUCUAAAGUCUGGACACUCGUUACAUUGGGUUUUCAAGCCGACGUCAUAAGCCAUUAUUUGUGUACAAAGCGGCUUCAUCUUGAGGUGGCAGAAGAAAUUUUAGGG
RNAcentral lists this long non-coding RNA (1123 nucleotides) under Ixodes scapularis (black-legged tick). RNAcentral's name for it is "uncharacterized LOC115331353, transcript variant X2". The record is from RNAcentral. Lineage: Eukaryota; Metazoa; Arthropoda; Arachnida; Ixodida; Ixodidae.